This 253-nucleotide ribosomal RNA is filed under the name uncultured bacterium. Its description in RNAcentral is "partial 16S ribosomal RNA". It matches the Rfam family "Bacterial small subunit ribosomal RNA", at positions 524 to 776 of the family's 1533-position model. The record is from RNAcentral.
UACGUAGGGCGCAAGCGUUGUCCGGAAUUAUUGGGCGUAAAGAGCUCGUAGGCGGUUUGUUGCGUCGGCUGUGAAAUCCCGAGGCUCAACCUCGGGUCUGCAGUCGAUACGAGCAAACUAGAGUGUUGCAGGGGAGACUGGAAUUCCUGGUGUAGCGGUGAAAUGCGCAGAUAUCAGGAGGAACACCGGUGGCGAAGGCGGGUCGCUGGGCAACAACUGACGCUGAGGAGCGAAAGCGUGGGGAGCGAACAGG